Long non-coding RNA from Hylaeus anthracinus, 693 nucleotides. RefSeq lists it as uncharacterized. The record is from RefSeq and is a predicted model, not a curated record. The transcript has 4 exons. Lineage: Eukaryota; Metazoa; Arthropoda; Insecta; Hymenoptera; Colletidae.
UGAUGAAAAAUCUUCCGUGCUUUGGUGGAAACAAAUAUUUAUAAAUCGUGUUUGUGUGUGCAUCUUAUAAAACAAAUUUAGUUAUCUGUGUACAUAAGGCAGAAAUAAGAUAAUAACCGAGGAGAAAAUGAUUGAUUUUUCAAGGAUGAUUAAGAUGAUAAUAAAUCAGAUCAAUGAACGUGACACGGAACUCUUUUUAGUGGGAUUGUAUAUUUGAAGGUCCCAUUACUCGAGUCCUGUGAUAUGUUGUUGAUGAUCAGCUGGUAUCUAAUGGUAAUUUACAAGAAAAAGCAGUUUUGCACUUUGAUCUGUAUUAAUAGCCAUUACACGCCUUGUAUUACAUAUGUGCACGCAUUAGAACCAUAGUAGUCUUUACCAGUGCGACAUGACAAUGAACUUCAAUACUGCUAUCUUUUUAGGACCAUAUAGGAUCCUUCAACAAAAGAAUUAUUGAAGCAUAAGAUGAUGUGAUGUGAUGUACGUUAGUGUAGACUAUUCCAAUUAAGCAGUUGAAAUACUAUGAUCUGCCAGAGAGUACAACGGAAGGAUCUAUUAUUGAAGAAUAAGAUGAUGCGGUGUGAUCUACGUUAGUAUGAUUAGAAAUAAAUUUUCACAUAUUUAUAUUAAUCAUUAAUGCAUGCAUGGAAUGAAUAAAUGUUUGUAAUUAAUAAAGUAAUUCCAUAUGAAUUGUAU